CAGACUUCAUAUAAAUCCAUAAUGAACUUUUUCACACUAACAGUUGUUACCCAGAUGAGGAUGGGUUCCUUCUGAGUCGGGUUCCUCUCAAGGUUUCUUCCUCUUAAAACAUGUGGAAUGGCAUAUAAAUUGCCUAUAAAUGUGGGCCAUAUUUCUAUCACUGAAAUUCUUAGUCCUCAAUUGAGAGGUCACCAUGUGUUUACAGACAGCACAGUGGUGGUCUCAUAUAUUGACCACCAGGGAGGAUAAUGCGUUAUCACCAGGAAAACGAUUAUUGCGUUAUCCAUCCAUUAUGUUAUCCAUCCAUCUUCUAUACCGCUUAUCCUUUUCAGGGUCACGGGGAAACCUGGAGCCUAUCCCAGGAAGCUUGGGGCACAAUUCGGGGUACACCCUGGACAGGGUGCCAAUCCAUUGCAGGGCACACUCACACACCCAUUCAUACACUUGCCAAUCAGCCUACCAUGCAUGUCUUUGUACGGGGGGGUGGGAUCGGAGUACCCAGAGGAAACCCCCGCAGCAUGGAGAGAACAUGUAAACUCCGCACGCACAGGGCCACAACGGGAAUCGAACCCCCAACCCUGGAGGUGUGAGGCGAACGUGCUAACCACUAACCAUCCACAGUCACAUGGAAAAAAAAGGUCAGUGAUUGCCUGACUCAGUAAAUGGUCCUUCUGCCCAUUGCUGCUAGAUAUUUCGAAAUUUAUGAUGCCACCAGCUAUGCUCUUUUCUAUUUAUAGCUUGUGCAGAUGAAUUGCACAACACUACAAUUAUAGCAAGUAUGAGGUCAUUCAUCAACAUUAACAUCUGACCCACACAAAGGCUAAAUAAUAU
Long non-coding RNA from Ictalurus punctatus (channel catfish), 831 nucleotides. The record is from Ensembl. NCBI's taxonomy places the organism in Eukaryota, Metazoa, Chordata, Actinopteri, Siluriformes, Ictaluridae.